Molecule: ribosomal RNA, 408 nt
Filed under: uncultured bacterium
Lineage: Bacteria
Description: partial 16S ribosomal RNA
Rfam family: Bacterial small subunit ribosomal RNA
Source: RNAcentral
GACGAACGCUGGCGGCGUGCUUAACACAUGCAAGUCGAACGAAGUGGCGAACGGGUGAGUAAUACGUGGGUAACCUGCCCUCCUUUUUGGGAUAAGCCUUGGAAACGGGGUCUAAUACCGAAUAAAGGGGGAUGGGCUCGCGGCCUAUCAGCUUGUUGGUGGGGUGAUGGCCUACCAAGGCGGUGACGGGUAGCCGGCCUGAGAGGGUGACCGGGCACAUUGGGCCUGAGAUACGGCCCAGACGCCUACGGGAGGGAGCAGGGGGGGAUAUGGCACAAUGGGCGAAAGCCUGAUGCAGCGACGCCGCGUGGGGGAUGAAGGUGUUCGGGUUGUAAACCGCUGUGGCUAGCGAACGGGUAGGUGGAGAAGAAGCGCCGGCUAACUACGUGCCAGCAGCCGCGGUAAUUC